CAGUCGAGCGAAUGGAUUAAGAGCUUGCUCUUAUGAAGUUAGCGGCGGACGGGUGAGUAACACGUGGGUAACCUGCCCAUAAGACUGGGAUAACUCCGGGAAACCGGGGCUAAUACCGGAUAACAUUUUGAACUGCAUGGUUCGAAAUUGAAAGGCGGCUUCGGCUGUCACUUAUGGAUGGACCCGCGUCGCAUUAGCUAGUUGGUGAGGUAACGGCUCACCAAGGCAACGAUGCGUAGCCGACCUGAGAGGGUGAUCGGCCACACUGGGACUGAGACACGGCCCAGACUCCUACGGGAGGCAGCAGUUGGGAAUCUUCCGCAAUGGACGAAAGUCUGACGGAGCCAUAUUAAAAAGUCUAUUGAAGGCUUUCGGGUCGUAAAACUCUGUUGUUAGGGAAGAACAAGUGCUAGUUGAAUAAGCUGGCACCUUGACGGUACCUAACCAGAAAGCCACGGCUAACUACGUGCCAGCAGCCGCGGUAAUACGUAGGUGGCAAGCGUUAUCCGGAAUUAUUGGGCGUAAAGCGCGCGCAGUUGUUUUCUUAAGUCUGAUGUGACAGCCCACGGCUCAACCGUGGAGGGUCAUUGGAAACUGGGAGACUUGAAGUGCAGAAGAGGAAAGUGGAAUUCCAUGUGUAGCGGUGAAAUGCG
RNAcentral lists this ribosomal RNA (653 nucleotides) under Bacillus sp. (in: firmicutes). RNAcentral describes it as "bacterial SSU rRNA". It matches the Rfam family "Bacterial small subunit ribosomal RNA", at positions 59 to 690 of the family's 1533-position model. The record is from RNAcentral. Lineage: Bacteria; Bacillati; Bacillota; Bacilli; Caryophanales; Bacillaceae.